AUUGAACGCUGGCGGCAGGCCUAACACAUGCAAGUCGAACGGUAACAGGAAACAGCUUGCUGUUUCGCUGACGAGUGGCGGACGGGUGAGUAAUGUCUGGGAAACUGCCUGAUGGAGGGGGAUAACUACUGGAAACGGUAGCUAAUACCGCAUAACGUCGCAAGACCAAAGAGGGGGACCUUCGGGCCUCUUGCCAUCGGAUGUGCCCAGAUGGGAUUAGCUAGUAGGUGGGGUAACGGCUCACCUAGGCGACGAUCCCUAGCUGGUCUGAGAGGAUGACCAGCCACACUGAAACUGAGACACGGUCCAGACUCCUACGGGAGGCAGCAGUGGGGAAUAUUGCACAAUGGGCGCAAGCCUGAUGCAGCCAUGCCGCGUGUAUGAAGAAGGCCUUCGGGUUGUAAAGUACUUUCAGCGGGGAGGAAGGGAGUAAAGUUAAUACCUUUGCUCAUUGACGUUACCCGCAGAAGAAGCACCGGCUAACUCCGUG
RNAcentral lists this ribosomal RNA (490 nucleotides) under uncultured bacterium. RNAcentral describes it as "partial 16S ribosomal RNA". It matches the Rfam family "Bacterial small subunit ribosomal RNA", at positions 30 to 507 of the family's 1533-position model. The record is from RNAcentral.